AUUUGAGUAGUUUAUUUAAAAUUUCAGUUUGUGGGACUGAGGAUAUGAUUACAAUUAUCUUAGAUA
This 66-nucleotide transfer RNA is filed under the name Trigonopterus singkawangensis. RNAcentral describes it as "tRNA-His". The record is from RNAcentral. Lineage: Eukaryota; Metazoa; Arthropoda; Insecta; Coleoptera; Curculionidae.